UUUCAAAUUCGUAUUAAGCAACUCCUGCUCGAAACGAACAAACGUCACCGAUCCACAAGUCUCCGCAACUUAUAAACACAACUGCACACGACCUCUUCACGCUCUUCCAGUAAUCCGGUACAAUUACUAGAAUCUAGGAACGCCUAACAAUCAAGAACGACCGGGACGACCGGGAACACCGGGAAUGACUGGAGCAUAAAUGUCCUGUACGUUCUGUACCAUGUUCAUAACGUUCAUUAGUUUCGUAACCGUUCGUAAUAAACUACUACGCCGUCAGAGAGCAUAUACCUAUUCACACUCGUACUGUAGUACGUAUCGCACAUAUCGCUGUGCCUUCAUUACCGUCAUGAAGGUCAUGAAAACCGAUCAAGAAGAUUUCCACGGAUCAGCUGCCCAUGUCCGUGAUUGUUUUUGUUUUAAUGUGUGUCCGAAGAUGUUGCAGAUCUUGAACCUUAAGGUAGCCAUUUCGUUUGUGAGGUUGUGAUGUGAAAGAGUGUGGGAGCUUAUUUUACGGCUUGUAACGAUUUAAAAAUUAAAAAGCGAUAAAAUCUGUUUGAGCAGUGUGGUCGAAAAAUAUAUCGGCAUAAGAUCUUGCAGGUAAGAGGGAAGUAACAACGCAGUGUUGGCCGACAGCGGUAUACGUAAUUUUGUCGUGCGAGACAAACUUAGCACAAUGUGCAGACUAAAGAAGAGGUAAGUUAUGCAAGGAUCUAUACAGACCACUACACAAGGAGCAAUUUGCACUGGGAUCUGCACCCACAGCCACAAGACUGAUUACAUUUUGCUUGAACUUAAAGUUAUACAAGAAGCAUUCAAGUUUUGCAGCUUGUUACUGCAGAAUGUGCAAUUUCCAUUACACAGUGUAAAAGUAUUGCUGUUGUGCGUACUUUAUGCACGGACAUGAAGAAACUAUUCACUUGAGAACUGAAGAAUUUGCUGCGAGCCUUGAGUCAUGCUUAAAGGCAGAAGGAGCAGUGUUCUAACAGUUUUUAUAGAAUGUGAUAAGUUUGUGUUGGGACCGAGGAAACUUGUCACCCUGCACUUGCAAGCAGCAUGUUUCCAUCUCAGCUGAAAGCCCACUAGCACUAUUAGGCUUCUAAUUUAAAUCUUCUGGCCUCUUUCUUUGUUAACGGUUCCUAAGAGACGUUGGUAUUCACUGGUUGGUGCCCACUGUUCUUUUAUUGUGGAGCAGUGAGAAUGGAAGUAGUGUCACCCUCACCUUCAAGGAGUUCAUGAACUUCAGGCUGAAGAUGGACAAUCUCAAAGUUUCUGCCAUGACUGCAGGAAAAAUGCUUCAUAAUACAGUGCAGGGAGUGCUGUGUACAUAGCCCACGUGAACACUUCUCGAGGAACCAGAUACCUCCAGAAACGAUUAACAUAUCACUACCAAAUAAAUACUAUCAAUACUAAUGAAACAGUAACUAAAACAAGUACCUAACUCCUCCGAAAUCGGGAAAUAAAAAUAAAUAAUAAAAAUUAAUGAACCCUGAGACACAGGGUACAACAAUUAAAGUCAGCUUACAAAAGGAAAUAAACAAACCUCCAUGGUACAAAUAAACUAUAAUUUAAAAUAUCAGAUCAAUAAAAUACAACAACAAAACAAUGAAGAAGUUGCUGUUCUGAGUGAUGGAGGAUGCGGGACCCAGGUUACUGCAUCCAUGAAGGUCUUACCUCACGCCCCUCUCAUGGACAUGCUUGACUUCACAUCAGGGAAGGAUUUCCCAGGGAGAUCCCCAGUUGCCUCCACUAGACGUGCAUGGAAUGUCGGCAACUAAUCGUCAAGUGCUGGCGAGACUUGGGCGAAGAAAUUUCCGGCCCAGGUGACGAGGCGUCACAAGAAUGAAGGUAGUCCCACGUUACUGUCCAUAUCAAUGUAAAGGAGCUCAUCAGCUUUCAGCUGAGAGUGGGGCAUCCAGGAGGCCUUCCCUUCGAGUCCUGUCGCACCGCAGCUGUGAAGAGUUCCUACAGAGAAGCGCUGGGCAGACGACAGUGUAAAGUGCUGUUCCGGAUGUUGAGAGUUGUCCAUGGCACUACUGUACAUCGUGUUGACUUCACACCAAGGAAGAAUAAAUAGUGCAUCGUGCAUAUGAAGUACAGAGGGAUGUGUGUAUCAUGGCAAGAGCUGCAGCUCGCUGUAUUGUCUGAAGUUGGAAAGUACACAGAGGAUGCUAGAGGAAGACAGAUACAAUGAACUCUUGCUAAUCUAGAUUAAUUGGGCAGAGAGGUCAUCAUCAUUGUGAUGAUCUGGACUAGUGUAGCAAAAGGUAGCCCUAAAAGUCAAAAAGACUUAAAACACAAAUGGGAAAUGUAACGAUUUCCUAUGUGGCAGUAAGGAAGAAAUUAUCCUUCCAAGUGACAGAGGAUGUAACAACUUUGCAUUCUCUAAGGAAGUUCCCUCGUUUCCUAGUGGCUAAAAGUCUGUGUGUGGGUGUGUGUGGUGUGGUUGGAUAUUCAGAAACAUGAGCUGGCUUGAAUUUCCAUGCCCACUGUGCCUAGAGGAAAGGAAUGAUUGAGACGAAACAAACCGCACUUUUUACAGCCACCAAAUCGAUACACCCUGUAUUUGCUGAAAUGUAAUAUUGUAAUGUAAAAGGACUCGAUGGCAUUCUUAAUGUCACUGGGAUGGAGGUGAAAGAUCAACUGUGCUAGCAUUUAACACCAUUAACCUUUGGAACAGUGCCAUCGUCUCUCUGCACAUAGGAAGUCACACCCCUACUGCUGGACAUUAGCCAGGCAACGGUCCUUGGAAAGCAUAAUUCAUUAUUCUCACAAACCGCGGGACUAAAAACGUCUUGUUCUGCCAUUUUGAGAGGGAGGGAUCCACCCAACACGUUUACAUCCCCAUGGCAAAGCACCAAGGACCACGGGAAAGUUGCCUGCCAGAGACACAGACAGAACCGAGUGGGAGCUGGGAAUGCAACGUGACCAAAGGACGGUGAAACAGAUGUGGCAUAUCAAAUCUUCUGCUGUAAUUUCAGUUAUUUCGUCUGAGAGAUGUUAUCGCUUUCAAGCCAGGAGUGCACAACUGUCGGGUCAGAAUCUUCAUAAAGAAUCGUGAAGCAAACAAACAGGAGGAAAGGAGAAAGAGUCUUCCUAAUAUCUUGGCUCAGAAAGGGCUGAACAUGAGCCCACUGUUUUGGGGGGGGGGCAGAAACGUUUCUUACAAGUUUACGCUGAAACAGCACUGGGUCGCCCUAGAGUAAUCAGCAUAGAAGAAUGGUUUUGUAUAAUUUUAAUUUUUAAUAAUGUUUGGUACAUUCCCUUUAUUCUUCAGUUUUGUUUCCUCUUCAGGAAUGCGUGGCGGGGUGGCAUACUUGACCCCCCCUUGCCAGUUGAUAGGUCUCUCUGUGUGGGGUCUGAGGGACUGAGACCCAGUAAUUUAACAACAGGUUUCUGACACUUCUACAAAAGAGACGACUUGUCACGAAUGGUAUGUUGCUUGAAAAUUGUAAAUGAUUUGGUGAAUUACAAAAUUAAUUUUAUGAUCAUUUCAGAAGUGGUGGUGCAUUACA
Molecule: long non-coding RNA, 3512 nt
Organism: Cryptotermes secundus
Lineage: Eukaryota; Metazoa; Arthropoda; Insecta; Blattodea; Kalotermitidae
Exons: 6
Source: RefSeq, a predicted model, not a curated record